GCAACCUUAAAUUAAGUAAUUAAUCAUCUUGUUACUAAAGGUUACACAUACAACUUUUAUGAAGUUGAGAACAAAGACUAAAACCCAUCUUUCUACUUUAAUAGAUUACUAUAAGAGAUAGUCCAUUACAAAAAAAGCAGUUAAUUAGAAAAGAUCAAAACUUUUAUAGUGAACUUCAGCCUCAGAUAGUUGGUAUUCUUCUUUAACAUGGUUUGGGUACAAAGACCUUGAAAUCCCAGCAGCAGAAACAUCCAACAUUAUCACAGGAAAAAUCUCCGUCGACUUGUAUCCAUCUCCGGCUUGUGAACCCAUUCAUAUUCCCCACCCUUAGUAUCAAAAGUACCAUGCUGGAGACUGAUUAAUUUGAGAGUAAAUCGAGGCCCACACUCCUGCAGACGGGCAAUUGUCCUUUCUUGUGGGUUCUUCUCAUCCUUGCUUUUUUUACCUUUUGAUUCUUUCUGUUUGCUCUCUUUGGUUUCAAAAAUGUAGCGAUGAUGGCGAAAAAAUAUGAAAUCACGCUGGUUGUGGAAGGUCACAACUCGACGUCCACGAAAUUCGGGAUCUUGUGGAAAAAGUGACUGUAUCAUCCUCCCAACUCGAUGACCCAAACGUGUUGUGAAGUUGGUCAAAACCAGCUCAGGCUUGU
Molecule: unclassified non-coding RNA, 646 nt
Filed under: Hevea brasiliensis (rubber tree)
Lineage: Eukaryota; Viridiplantae; Streptophyta; Magnoliopsida; Malpighiales; Euphorbiaceae
Source: RNAcentral